AUAAUGUUACAGCAAGAUAAGUUCAGGGAUAGUUGUCAAAAUUUAUCCCUCUUCUUCAAUUCUUCUGAUCUGCUGUUCGAGUAUUCUUUUAUUUUGUUUAGUUCUUUUUUUAUUUUUUUAUUUUAACAACAAUACAAAUUAGUUAAAGGUGUAUAGGUCACUUUCUUCAGUUUUUUGAUAUGCAUUUUGUUUGAUUUAUGAAGAUAAUUGAGUUGAUGACUUGAUGUGGUCUUCCUUGCAAUUA
RNAcentral lists this unclassified non-coding RNA (244 nucleotides) under Hevea brasiliensis (rubber tree). Lineage: Eukaryota; Viridiplantae; Streptophyta; Magnoliopsida; Malpighiales; Euphorbiaceae. The record is from RNAcentral.